UCAAACUUGGUCAUUUAGAGGAAGUAAAAGUCGUAACAAGGUUUCCGUAGGUGAACCUGCGGAAGGAUCAUUCAUAAUAAAAAUGGUUUUUAUGGCACUUUUAAAACAAUCCAUAUCCACCUUCUGUGCAAUGUUUUUUUUUUUUCAUUAAUCAACACUUUUUUUUUUUAAUUUCUUGUCUGAAAUAUUUUAUGAAUUUACUUAAUUCAAAAAUAUAACUUUCAACAACGGAUCUCUUGGCUCUCGCAUCGAUGAAGAACGCAGC
Molecule: unclassified non-coding RNA, 265 nt
Filed under: uncultured fungus
Lineage: Eukaryota; Fungi
Description: partial contains small subunit ribosomal RNA, internal transcribed spacer 1, and 5.8S ribosomal RNA
Rfam family: Eukaryotic small subunit ribosomal RNA (bases 1-73)
Source: RNAcentral